AGGAAUCUGCCUAUUAGUGGGGGACAACAUCUCGAAAGGGAUGCUAAUACCGCAUACGUCCUACGGGAGAAAGCAGGGGACCUUCGGGCCUUGCGCUAAUAGAUGAGCCUAAGUCGGAUUAGCUAGUUGGUGGGGUAAAGGCCUACCAAGGCGACGAUCUGUAGCGGGUCUGAGAGGAUGAUCCGCCACACUGGGACUGAGACACGGCCCAGACUCCUACGGGAGGCAGCAGUGGGGAAUAUUGGACAAUGGGGGGAACCCUGAUCCAGCCAUGCCGCGUGUGUGAAGAAGGUCUUUUGGUUGUAAAGCACUUUAAGCGAGGAGGAGGCUACCGAGAUUAAUACUCUUGGAUAGUGGACGUUACUCGCAGAAUAAGCACCGGCUAACUCUGUGCCAGCAGCCGCGGUAAUACAGAGGGUGCAAGCGUUAAUCGGAUUUACUGGGCGUAAAGCGCGCGUAGGUGGCCAAUUAAGUCAAAUGUGAAAUCCCCGAGCUUAACUUGGGAAUUGCAUUCGAUACUGGUUGGCUAGAGUAUGGGAGAGGAUGGUAGAAUUCCAGGU
RNAcentral lists this ribosomal RNA (560 nucleotides) under uncultured bacterium. Its description in RNAcentral is "bacterial SSU rRNA". It matches the Rfam family "Bacterial small subunit ribosomal RNA", at positions 119 to 674 of the family's 1533-position model. The record is from RNAcentral.